GAUCCUGGCUCAGGACGAACGCUGGCGGCGUGCCUAAUACAUGCAAGUAGAACGCACAGUUUAUACCGUAGCUUGCUACACCAUAAACUGUGAGUUGCGAACGGGUGAGUAACGCGUAGGUAACCUGCCUGGUAGCGGGGGAUAACUAUUGGAAACGAUAGCUAAUACCGCAUAAUAUUGAUUAUUGCAUGAUAAUUGAUUGAAAGAUGCUAUUGCAUCACU
Molecule: ribosomal RNA, 222 nt
Filed under: uncultured bacterium
Lineage: Bacteria
Description: partial 16S ribosomal RNA
Rfam family: Bacterial small subunit ribosomal RNA
Source: RNAcentral